AGGACGUUUUCUGUGCUUUCUAUAUUUCUCUCUGUUAUGUCUUCUUUCAGUAUAUAUCUGGUGGCAGUCACUUCCCAGGCCGUGUCUGGCAGCACGGAGACAUUGUGUGCACAGAUCCAUGAGCCCACUGAACCAGUUUCUCUAGUGGUGACUUUGAGGUCUGAUGUUCAGAACAUGACCAUUCUCCAACAACGCUCCAUAACCAGGGAUUUCUACACAUGUGUAACUUUUAAGGUCCCACUAGUCACUGUGGAGUCUGUGGCAUCCAUCAAUGUUACAAUCCGAGGACAGUCAACAUUCAUGAAUAAAACCACUCAGAUCCUCAUUAGUCCACCCCAAAAACUUCUUUUUAUUCAGUCUGACAGACCUAUCUACAAGCCCGGACAAACAGUUAAAUUUCGUAUUGUGUCUCUGGAUACCAAGUUCUUGCCUUACAAUCAAGAUCCAUCCUCAAAUCGCAUUGGUCAAUGGUUAAAUCAGUCUACAAGGAGUGGCAUUUUGGACUUGUUCCACUCCAUCUCUCCAGAAGCCACUCAGGGUUACUAUAUGGUCACUGCCUGGGAUGAGAAGAACCAACAAAUAUCACACCAAUUUGAAAUUAAAGAAUAUGUUCUGCCAAAAUAUGAGGUAAACAUCGAUUUUCCAUCUGUUAUAACUUCUCAGGACAACAAUGCCCCUCUUAAAGUUUGUGCAAAAUACACCUAUGGGAAAUCCGUGCUGGGAACUGUGAAUGUUGAAGUGUGUGGGCAAAGCUGGUAUUACUUUUAUGAACGCAGAUUCCCUGAAAAUGAUGGAGUAUGCAAUACAUAUUCAAAGAUGACUGACAGGACUGGUUGUGCAUCUUGGAUGAUAAAUGCCACAGACUUUGGCUUAAUCAAUGGAGGAAAUAUCAAUGUGCAAAGUAACGUAGAAGAGUCUGGAACAGGAGUAACUAUAUCAGGUACCACCACAGCUAUGUUUACCAGGGAAUAUAUCAAUGUCUACUUUGAAGACACACCAGAUACAUACAAGCCUGGUAUGGUCUUUAAGGGAAAGGUUGUGGUCACUAAUCCACAAUCCCAACCAAUGAAAAAUAAGCCAGUGGUUCUGUCUGCUUAUUAUGGAAAUCAAAAUAUCAGCCUGACUUUGAUUACAGAUGUAAAUGGCACUGUCCAGUUUUCCUUUAACACUUCAGACUGGUCAGAAUCUGGUGUUUUUGGUGUCUAUCGAUUCCUAACAAUUCACAUGUGCAGAUAUUAUCCAUCAAGCUAUCUUUACCUAAGACCCUUUCACUCCAAAAGCAAGAGUUUCCUGACGUUGAUGAAUCCUCCAAAGAAGCUCAGCUGUAACCGUGAUGCAACAGUGGUGGCCAGUUACAUCAUUCAGGGCAGCACAUUGAAAACAGGCCAGAAAACCUUGGAUUUCUUCUACAUUGUAUGUUUAAUUUUGACAAUGUUUUUAUUCUGUCCAUCAAUUGCUUGCUAUAAAAAAGGUACACUUUUAAAUUACCAAAUCACUCCUAUUAUUUUCUCUCUGGCUCCAUACGCUCAGGUGGUGGUUUACACAAUUCUUCCCAGUGGAGAAGCAGUAGCAGACAGUGUGAACUUCCCCAUUGAAGAAUGUUUGCCAAACAAGGUGUCCUUAAAGUUCUCAUCUCCCACUGCACUGCCUGGAGAGAGGGCAUCUUUUAGCCUGAAAGCCAGUCCUGGCUCCUUGUGCUCAGUGAGGGCCAUAGAUCAGAGUGUGCUGCUGCUGAGACCAGAGGCUGAGUUGAACGCAGACUCUGUGUUUGGAAUGUUACCAGUCCAAUUUUUGUCAGGUUACCCUUAUAACGUUGAGGAGUUUGAGCUUUACAACUGCCCACCUUCCUGGGGAGGCGUAAGGGGCAAGCGCUCACGCUUCUAUUACCCUUACUACGGCAACCGAAAUGAUGUCUAUGAGAUCUUUAGAGCAAUUGGAAUCAAAAUCGCUACUAACUCUGAUGUGAAAGCACCAGUUGAUUUAAAUGAUGUGGCCAUGCCAGGGGCGGCUUUUCGUCCAGGUGUUAUGAAUCCAAAUGAAAGGGUCCGCAAAUUCUUUCCAGAAACAUGGAUUUGGGAUCUAAUCCCUGUGGGAAAUUCCGGCUCCGUGGAUGUUGCAAAGACCGUCCCAGACACCAUCACUACAUGGGCAGCAGGGGCUUUCUGCACAUCGCCUGUCGGAUUCGGGCUGGCCCCCAGCACCAAUCUCACUGCUUUUAAGCCGUUCUUUGUGAGCCUCACCCUCCCUUAUUCUGUUAUCCGUGAAGAAACGUUCACGCUCAAAGCCUCUGUGUUCAACUACCUCUCCAAAUGCAUCAUGGUGAAGGUCACGCUGGCAGAUUCGACUCAGUUCACAGCUCAGCCGUGUAGGGGUUGCACAUACACUCAGUGUGUUUGUGCUGAAGAGAGCAAAACCUUCCAGUGGACUAUUACACCUUCUGUUGUGGGAAAGGUGAACUUUACAGUGCGUGCCGAGGCAGUGAAGACCCGAGAACUGUGUGGCAAUGAAGUGGUGACUUUGCCAGACAAAGGCAAAGUUGAUACUGUGAUGCAGAGCGUUCUGGUGGAGGUAUACCGUCCAUACAACACAUCCAUCACCCUUGCUCUUCCUAAAGUUUUUGUGAAGGAUUCUGCCAAAUGCUUCAUCACUGUUCUGGGAGAUCUGAUGGGUCGUGCUUUGAGAAACAUUGGUGAUCUUCUGGCUAUGCCAUACGGCUGUGGAGAGCAGAACAUGCUGCAGUUUGCCCCAAAUAUUUACAUCCUUCAAUACCUGGAGAGCAGCGGACAGCUCACUCCUGAGAUCAGAGCCCGAGCCGUAACCUUCCUACAGAGCGGCUAUCAGAGAGAGCUGACAUAUAAGCAUGGUGAUGGAUCUUACAGUGCUUUUGGCUCAAACGAUCCUUCUGGUAACACAUGGCUAACUGCAUUUGUGAUGAAGUCUUUUGGUGGGGCAAAGAGGUAUAUAUUUAUAGAUCAGACCAGCAUUGAUGAGGCAAAGAAUUGGCUGAGUCAGCAGCAGAAGACAAAUGGCUGCUUCACCUCUGUGGGGCAACUGAUCCACAUUGAAAUGAUGGGUGGUGUCAAUGAUGAAGUCACUCUCUCUGCUUACAUCACCGCAGCGCUGCUGGAGUUAGGCGUGCAGAUUUCUGAUCCCAUGGUGGCUAGAAGCCUUGUAUGUCUGAAGGAAGCUUCACGUAACAUUACCAACACCUAUGUGAAUGCCUUGUUGUCCUAUACAUUCACACUUGCUGGAGAUGGAGAAAUGAGACUGAACCUCCUGUCCAAGCUGGACAAUCAGGCCAGGAGAGAAGGUGCUGGACGAUACUGGUCUCUGGUCAACAAUGCUCAACAAACAAGCUCUGUGGAGGUUGAAAUGACUGCCUACGUUUUGCUGGCUCUUCUCUCGGGACCCUCACUGCCUAGAUUUGGUCUCAACUAUUCAGCUGGAAUAGUGCAGUGGCUGGGCAGACAGCAGAACGCCUUCGGGGGCUUCUCCUCCACACAGGAUACUGUAGUAGCGCUCCAGGCCCUGGCUAAGUACAGCGCUGCCGUCUUCAAUCCAGAAGGAUCCAUCGCCGUGACCGUGACCUCCCCAUCAGGACAGAGAAACCAGUUCACUGUGAACCGCAAUAACCGGCUGCUUUACCAGGAGAAACAGCUGACGGAAACUACUGGAACAUACAAGCUCAGGGCAGAAGGCAAAGGAUGUGUGUUUGUGCAGUUUGCCUUGAACUACAACAUCCCCCCUCCUCCUGAUGCGUUGGCCUUCAACAUUAAAACAAAUACAGGAGUCUGCAGCAAAAACCAAGCUUUUACAUUAAACGUCACUGUCCGGUAUGAUGGCAAACGAGAGGAGACCAACAUGGUGAUCAUUAACGUCAGGCUGCUGUCUGGGUUUAAGCUGGAUGAGGCGUCUCUGCAGGCCGUGAACCCCACCGUCAAACGUGUGGAUCUGGAUGAGGAUCGUGUCAUUGUCUAUUUGGAGAGUCUGAAAAAGAAGCAGGUGAAGUCCAUCAAUCUGAGGCUUCAGCAGGACGUCCUGGUGCAGAAGCUUAAACCAGCUGUGGUGGAGGUCUAUGACUACUACAAGACCAGUAUGUGUCCAUUUAUCUCUCUGAAUCUGCUCAAAGGAUAA
RNAcentral lists this long non-coding RNA (4134 nucleotides) under Danio rerio (zebrafish). RNAcentral describes it as "lncRNA lnc.a2m (ENSDARG00000104200.3)". Lineage: Eukaryota; Metazoa; Chordata; Actinopteri; Cypriniformes; Danionidae. The record is from RNAcentral.